Mustela erminea (ermine) is the source of this 325-nucleotide long non-coding RNA. RefSeq lists it as uncharacterized. Lineage: Eukaryota; Metazoa; Chordata; Mammalia; Carnivora; Mustelidae. The transcript is spliced from 3 exons. The record is from RefSeq and is a predicted model, not a curated record.
UGUCAUUCACCCUAUAAAUAGGGCCCUCCUGCAGAUGGUCAGCUGGAAGUCUCACCUGAGGGGAGGACUCUGCGGAGGCCUCUUAAUGGGGACUCCCUCCUGGCUGUCUCCAGGGGGCUUCCCCAGCUGAUAAGGUUGGAUGUUCAAGAGAGACAGGCAGUCAACAAAGAUGUGUUUGACCUUUAACAUCAAAAGUGAUCAAGGACAAGGGAGCCAAAGACGAAACCUAUUUACUCACCAGGUUACUGGCAGCGUCUAGAGAAGUCACAGGCUGUGAGUGGCUGCGCAAGUUGACUGGUAACCGUGGCAACCGGAAGGCGGUGAA